This is a long non-coding RNA of Seriola aureovittata, 431 nucleotides long. RefSeq lists it as uncharacterized. The record is from RefSeq and is a predicted model, not a curated record. The transcript has 3 exons. NCBI's taxonomy places the organism in Eukaryota, Metazoa, Chordata, Actinopteri, Carangiformes, Carangidae.
CGAAUAUUCAAUUAGUAAACGCGGUCUCUGCUACACUGAGGUUGGAAGAAGAAACUCUGAAGGAAAUUGUGAAGCCAGUCGGACAGCAAUGGAGUGAGAGCAGAGAUGAGGAAUUCUGUCUACAAGCAAACAACAUGAUUAAGGAAGUAACAACUGCAUUCGUGGAUUAUUAUGGAUAUGGACCACUUCAUCUUCAGGAACGAAAGGAGAGGGGACUUAGACGACGAAUAGAGUCUGAGAUCACAUGUAAUAUGUAAAGCCGCAGUACGUCGAGGGAGGUGCACACAGUGAUGUGACAUGAAUCAGCGUGUUGCACUUGCGCGACAGGUCUCCAUGCUGUUCCUUCAGACACAGAUUCAGAUCACUGCAGCCCCCCUACCACUUCCUGCCAAAAUGUGGACACUAACACUACAUACUUUGACAAGAUUUAG